UUAUCCGGAUUUAUUGGGUGUAAAGGGAGCGUAGAUGGAUGUGUAAGUCAGUUGUGAAAGUGUGCGGCUCAACCGUAAAAUUGCAGUUGAUACUGGAUGUCUUGAGUGCAGUUGAGGCAGGCGGAAUUCGUGGUGUAGCGGUGAAAUGCUUAGAUAUCACGAAGAACUCCGAUUGCGAAGGCAGCCUGCUAAGCUGCAACUGACAUUGAGGCUCGAAAGUGUGGGUAUCAAACAGGAUUAGAUACCCUGGUAGUCCACACGGUAAACGAUGAAUACUCGCUGUUUGCGAUAUACGGCAAGCGGCCAAGCGAAAGCGUUAAGUAUUCCACCUGGGGAGUACGCCGGCAACGGUGAAACUCAAAGGAAUCGACGGGGGCCCGCACAAGCGGAGGAACAUGUGGUUUAAUUCGAUGAUACGCGAGGAA
This 425-nucleotide ribosomal RNA is filed under the name uncultured bacterium. Its description in RNAcentral is "bacterial SSU rRNA". It matches the Rfam family "Bacterial small subunit ribosomal RNA", at positions 541 to 968 of the family's 1533-position model. The record is from RNAcentral.